Molecule: long non-coding RNA, 9287 nt
Filed under: Brassica rapa (field mustard)
Lineage: Eukaryota; Viridiplantae; Streptophyta; Magnoliopsida; Brassicales; Brassicaceae
Description: long non-coding RNA (BRAP_LNC008036)
Source: RNAcentral
AUAUUCCAAGAUGCUGAUUACUUUACAGCUAUGCCAGCCUGUCUUCUCCGCGUCUCCUUUCUUCCCUUCAACGGUCAUAAGCCUCCUUAACACUCAAGGUAACUCUCCAAAGUAACUUGGGUAAGGAUGGUAAGUUUGGUUGAUGAUGGGUCGACCCGAGAAUGUACGGCCUGUACGGCCAGUACGGUCAGUACGGAUUGUACGGACUGGUCGACCUCAUACCUCAUCCUUUCCUUAACACAUCCUUCUCAUAAUGCUUCCUUAUACCCCAUCACUUCCCUUGCUUAUACUCAACUCAUUUCAACACUCCCCCUCAAGCUUGAAUUCUAGAAUCCAUUCAAGCUUGGAACAGCCAUGAGAUCUUCCUCAUUAAAAACCUCACCAAGGAAAACCCAUUGGGACAAAACCUUGAUGAGGGAAAAAGAGUAAAGACCUCAUGGCAAAGGGGAUCAGCUCCUUGAGGAAAGAUCUAUGAGUCCCAAUCUGGUAUGAAUGGACUCCAUAGUCUUUUGUCUUGCAGCCUUGGUGAACACAUCCGCAAGUUGAUCCUCACUCCUUGUGUAGCAUGGCAAGAUUACUCCCAAGACAAUCAUCUGCCUCACCUUGUGACAAUCAACUUCAAUGUGCUUGGUUCUCUCAUGGAAGACUGAGUUGGUUGCAAUGUGUAUAGCCGCUUGAUUGUCACAAUGCAUAGUCAUUGGAGUUGCUUGCUCUAUCUCCAAAUGCUUCAAGAUCCCUUUGAUCCAUACCAACUCAUUGGUAAGCUUCAGCAUUGCUCUAUACUCAGCUUCAGCACUUGAACAAGACACCACCUUCUGCUUCUUGCUCUUCCAAGUCACCAAGUUGCCUCCAAUGAAUGUACAGUAGCCAGUGGUUGAUCUUCUGUCUGCUCUAUCUCCAGCCCAAUCCGCAUCACAAUAUCCCACUACUUCAGUACUCUUGUUGCAUCCCAUCCAAACUCCAAGGCUUGAUGUCCCGUUCAGAUACAAGAGCAGUCUCUCCACCAUGCGCCAGUGAUGAUCCUUUGGAACUUGCAUAUGCUGGCUCACUUGGUUCACAGCAAAGCAAAUGUCUGGUCGUGUGAUGGUGAGGUAGAUGAGCUUCCCUACUAGCUUCCUGUAUAGCUUUGGAUCAUGAAAGGCCUUGCUAUCUUCAAUCUCCCCCUCACGUGGAAUCUUGUAUCCAUCUUCAAGAGGCAUCUUUGCUGUCUUAUCUCCUUGUAUACCUGCAUCUUUCAAAAGAUCAAGUGUGUACUUCCUUUGGGAAACGAACAAUCCUUCCUUAGAUCUACACAACUCAAUUCCAAGGAAGUAUUUCAUUUCUCCUAAGUCUUUGAUUUCAAAACACAGAUUUCAAAACUCCUUUGUGGCUUUUAUACCAGCCUUAUCACUACCUGUUAUGAUAAUGUCAUCAACAUAUACAAGUAGACAGAUGAUACCUGAGGGUGUAGUGAGAGUGAAGAGAGUGUGAUCCAAUUCAGACUUCUUGACCCACGCCCAUUUAAGGUAGUGCUCAGCUUGUUAUAUACCAUGCUCUAGGAGAUUGCUUCAACCCAUAGAUAGCCUUCUUGAGUCUCAAUACAUUUCCAGGUUUCACAAGGUGCUCUAGACCCGGUGGGGGAUACAUAUACACUUCAUCCUCUAGCUCUCCUUGAAGAAAGGCAUUCUUCACAUCCAUCUGCCAAAGCUCCCACUCAAGAUUCACAGCAAGAGAUAGUACAAUUCUUAUGGUAUGGAGUUUGGCAACAGGGGCAAAGGUAUCAAUGUAGUCUUCCCCAUAUGUUUGAGUGUAUCCUCUAGCCACCAGUCUUGUCUUCUUCCUCUCAAUAGUUCCAUCAGGUAGAUACUUGAUAGUGAAUAUCCACUUGCUUGUUACUGCCUUCUUCCCUCUUGGUAACUCACUUUCAAACCAAGUGUCAUUCUUUAUCAUAGCAUUUGCUUCAUCACCCACUGAUUCUUUCCAAUCUUCAUGUAACAUUGCUUCUUCAUAUGAUCUGGUACACUGCUCUCAUCUAAGCUUGUAAUGAAUGCACAAUGUUCCUUUGGGUAGCUCGCAAAUGAGCACACAGCCUGAGAGGGAUGCUUCACAGCUUGAGCAUUGUAGUACACUCUCGUGUUUACCCAGUUGGAAGCAUCUCUCUUCAGUCGUGUGCUUCUCCUUAAUGGGGCUUGUUCCACCUCCACCACCGUAGGCUGCACCACCGUAGGCUGAACUGCUUCUCUUUCUACUUCAUUUGGUUCAAUUGGUUCCACAUAAUCUUCUUGUAUGGAUUCUUCCUCUCUUUGUAUCACACCUUGACCAUGACUAUCUGAGUCUUUAUCCUCAUGAUCUUCAGGCUCAGCCUCAUUUCCCCCCUCAUGAUCAUGGUGUGAUGGUUCUUCAGCUUCAUUCUCCUUUGAUGGUUGCUGAUCCUGGGACAUGUUGAUUCCAAGUCCUUCCAGUACACGCCUAAGACUUGUAGCUCGAUCAGAUGGUUGAGACAAAUCUUCAAGAUCUUCCCACUUUCUAUCUCCAUAAAAGCUCUUAUCCUCCAAGAACUUCACAUCUCUAGACACAAGAACUCUCCUGGCUUCUGAAAUUAGCAUUUGUAUCCCUUUUGUGACGUUGAGUAGCCAAUGAACAUGGCUCUUGUGCUCUUUGCUUCUAGCUUAUUCCUUAGCUCCCCGGGUACAAGUACAAAGCACACGCAUCCAAAGACUCUUAAGUGAUCCAGUACAGGUUUGCUUCUGUUUAAAACUUCAUAAGGAGCUUGAUCUUCCAGGAUCUUGGUUGGUAUCCUAUUGAUUAGAUAACAAGCCGAGAUCACAGCAUCACUCUCCAGAAUCUCUUAGGCACACUUGUAUGAAACAUCAUAGACCUUGCCACCUCCAUUAGGUGUCUAUUCUUUCUCUCAGCUACACCGUUCUGUUGAGGAGUGUAUGGACAACUUGUCUGAUGUAGAAUCCCAUGUUGAGCUAGGUGACUCUUGAAUGCAUUGCCAGUAUAUUCUCCACCAUUAUCAGACCUGAAAAUCUUAAUCUUGGCAUUAUACUGGUUAGAUACAUAAGAUUGGAAGUUUUUAAAUGCAUCAAGAACCCUAUCCUUUGUUUUAAUGAGUGUUAUCCAGGUGUAUUUAGAUUUCUCAUCUAUAAAUGUGACAAAGUACUUGUAAUUAUCUCUAGAUAAGCAGGGAGCAGUCCAUACAUCAGAGUGAACAAGAUCAAAACACUUAUCAUAGAUAGUAGUAGAUCUUUUAAAGACAGUCUUACAAUGUUUUCCCAAAAUACAAGCCUCACAAUCAUUAUUUUUAAACAUGACACCUGGAAACAUUAAGCUUAAGGCUCUAACAUGUGGAUGUCCUAGCCUAGAAUGCCAUAAUGCACCUUUACUAAAACAGAACUCAGCAAACAACUAGAAAUGGGGUUAAUGUCUUCAAGUACAUAAAGAUCCCCCUUGGUUACUACCUUGUCCGAUCAACUUAUUGCUCUCAAUAUCCUGAAAUGUCACAUUGUUAGGACUAAAGAUAACAUUGCAUUGUAGAUCAUUGGUACAUCUUUUAACAGAUAAGAGAUUAGAAGUAAAAUCAGGCAUGUAAAAAGCUUUAGAGUUCUUAUCAAAAUAGCUUUAAGUCUCCUACACCUUUAAUGGGAAUUCUAUCUCCAUUUGCAAUCAUUACAUGACCAUGAGCAGGUUCUAUGUUUUUGAUCAAGCUAUCAUCACUAAUCAUGUGAUGAGAUGCACCAGAGUCAACAAUCAAUGGUUUUAUGCCUCUAGCAAGAUGAGUUCUAGGUGAUUCAUUUCUCAGUUUUAAUUUCUCAAUGAUAUCUAUCAACCUAUUCUCAUUCCUAGGCAUCAUAUGAGGCAGUAUAAGAGUAACCAAGAGUGUUUCCGAAUGUACCAGACUCCUUAAGAGCUUUGAUGAGGGCAUCAAUGUCAGAUUUGCGGAUCACUUCAUGCUCCAAACUCUUUGCGGCCGUGGUAGUGAGUUGCCAUUGCCUUGCCUGCGCUUUCACCCACUUGUGCACUUGAGCCUGCUCCUGAUGGACCGGCUUCACUUGCUUCAGUAGACAGGUUAGCUCUGGCUUCUCGAUCCUUGUUGAAACUUGGCCGGCUUGAGAUGGGGAUGAAGGAUCCAGCACUGGCUCCUCUUGUGUCCCGGCUUCUUGCAGUGAUCACAGUUGCCUCCAAACCUCCUCUCAUCACCAUACUUCCUCUCAUCAGUCUUGUAUGCUGCACGGUUAGCUUGCGCUCCUUCCUCAGCCUUGUUGGCUAGAGCUAAGUCUCCCUUGCUUCCGAAGAGACCAAGAGACCCUUCCUCCUUCUGGAGCUGCGCACAUACUUCCUCCAUGGAUGGAAGACUUGGCAUCCUCAACAUGUGUUUGAUCACAUCAUUGAACGGAGGGUCCAAAGUCAACAGCAAUCCAAACACCUGAUCCUGCUCCCUCCUCUCCAUGAGUAGCUCUUGAUCAGCCGUGCUUGGCCUCAACGAUUCAAGCUCAGACCACAAGGAUCUAUACUUGCCCAAAUGCUUGGUGAACUCCUCUCCAUCUUGUACCAGUGUGUUGAUAGCUUUCUUGAUCUCAUACACACGGUUCAGAUUGGUAACGUUCCCAAAAGUCUUUUGGAGUACCUCCCACAGGUGUUUUGGAGUCUCACAGUAGCUGUAGGCUUCCAAGAGAUGUUCUUCAAGAGAUCCUUGCAGCACAGAUAGCACCAUCAAGUCAUCUUGAAUCCACUUCUUUCCAUCAGCAACCGCGAGCUCUCUUCCACCUUCUUCUUCACUGGCCACUGGUGCUGGAGCUUCAUCUGUGAUGUGACCCAUAACCCUAGCCUCCCAAUGGCUGUCUUCACAAGCCUAGACCACAACAGGUAGUUUCCCCCACCCUUGAGUGAAAUCGGAACCGUAAUCACCUUGUUUCCUCCCAUCUUGAUUUGCUUGGACUUGGUUUAGAAUCUCACAAGAAAGAACUUUUUUAUCUGAAGCUGAAGAACACAACGAUCUCAAUACCACAGCCAACCUGGCCUCUGAUACCAUAUGACUUUAGAGAAUAUGAAAGGUAUUGAGAAGUCUAAGAGAGAUUCAAGAGAGAUUAGAGUGUUUAAGAGAAAGUGUAAUGAGAUUAUCAUGAUGAACUAGAGAGAGAGAGACUCAUAAACUCGUGUGUUAAUAUUAAUCAAGGCAGAGUUUACAAUAUAUAGCAAAGGAAAGACUAGGUUUCAGCAUAAGAGAUAAGGCAAAGCAUGUGUAGUCAAAGCUAAAGGGAGCGGAUGGUUUGAACUAGCCAAUGGAGUGCUUCACACACUUUCAGCAUAUUCCAAGAUGCUGAUUACUUUACAGCUAUGCCAGCCUGUCUUCUCCGCGUCUCCUUUCUUCCUUCAACGGUCAUAAGCCUCCUUAACACUCAAGGUAACUCUCCAAAGUAACUUGGGUAAGGAUGGUAAGUUUUGGUUGAUGAUGGGUCGACCCGAGAAUGUACGGCCUGUACGGCCAGUACGGUCAGUACGGAUUGUACGGACUGGUCGACCUCAUACCUCAUCCUUUCCUUAACACAUCCUUCUCAUAAUGCUUCCUUAUACCCCAUCACUUCCCUUGCUUAUACUCAACUCAUUUCAACAGACAGCCUGUCAUUGACCACGCCCUAGCUGUCCAUUAUCCACAAAUAGUCACAAGAUAACUCAGGUUUGUCUUCUCUUGCGCCCUAAGUUUGCACAGCUUCAUUUCAGCUUGAUCCGGAACAAGUACGGACGAAGGUACGGACCGCCUGUCCGUACCUCGCCCUAAGUUUGCACAUCUCACCAAAACAUCUCCAAUGGUUGAGUGUGAUCAGGUUCUGGGUCGCCCUAAGUUUGCACGGUUCAUCCGUACCGUCUGAACCUCGGGACGCCCUAUCUUUGCACCAUCACCAACUAUCUCCAAAUGGUGUCUAAGUCCCUCCUGGACUUAAACCCUAUCUUUGCACAGCCUUCAUGAUACUUCUAGACUUCUCUAAACUCUCAUGAAGCCUUGGAUAGACAAUCUCUUAAGAUCUUGUCCCUAUCUUUGCACCAGACCCAAACUCCUCCAUACUUCUCCUAUGGCUCCAUUUCUUUCUUCAAGUCAACACUCCCCCUCAAGCUUGACUCUAGGUGAUCCUAAGUCAAGCUUGGAACCUUGAAGAACUCCCUCAUUAAAACCUCACCAAGGAAAACCCUUUGGGACAAAACCUUGAUGAGGGAAAAAGAGUAGAGCCUCCAAGGCCUAGGGAUGGCCAGUGAGCCUAUGUGCCUUAGUAUCACUGAGGUUUAGGCACAUAGGCCUCUGGAUCACGGCCUCUUCACUCCACCACUCUUCUUGGACUUCUUCUUAAACUCCGUUGUGUCUUCCCUUCUCUCAUGGCUUCUCGGCCAUCUCCAUCAGGUAAGAUCACGCCCUCUUCAUUGAGAAUCCAAGUAAGGUACCUGAUACAUCAUUCAACAAGUGUAUCAGUUCUCAAGAGAUAAGCCUAUCAUGAAUGUAUAUAAAGAGAUAGAGAUCAGGUUUACUCCCUUGUAUAAAUGGUGAGGACUGGCUGCUCUUCACAUGCCACUUGAGUCCCUCACUUGCUGAGCUUAACAGCUCCUUCUCUGAUCAUGCAAGCUCAUCCACACUCCCCCUCAAGCUUGAGACCAAGUAUAGGAAAGGUCAAAGCUUGAUGGUGAGCGCAUGAUAGCUCCAUGAUAUGCCUUGUGGAAAGCACCUCCAUCUCCUUCGGACUUGAUGCUUGAACCUCCACUACAUCAUCAUUGCACUGAGGAGAUACAUCAGCCCACUCUCCAAGCACCUCACACGCCUUGUUGAGUGACCUUCUUCUUCCCUCUACUUCGGCUGAAUCACUCCAUGAUCAGCUUGCAAUGACCUUGAGUAACACAGGUCAUUGAGCAACAGGAUCAUCAGGUGGCUCACUUUGCUCCCCUCCUCAAGCUUGGAUUGAGUAUGGGUCCAAGCUUGAAGUGAGCCUCAAUGAGCCUUAAGAUCAGGAGCGCAACAUCUCAUAGAGUGCGCUUCAACCACUGAUCAACCCUUCCCUUUAUCUCCAAUGCCUUCUGGUCACCGGUCUCCUCCAGACUUAGGUGAUGACCACUCGCCUUGUGUAUCCACACAUACACCACAGCGACCAUUCCCAAUGGGUAAAGUCUUCUUCCUCUUCUGCUCGGAUUGGUGAUGGACAGAGAGCACAUCUUGUGAACCUGAAACACCACUCAAACUCCAGCAAAGAUAAGACACAAGCAUUGGGAUCAAUCCUUGACUAAUCAUCAAGUUUGAUCUCCAAUGUCACAAGCUAUGCAACAGAUUGAAACAAGAAUUAUCAAGUUCACAUCUUUGCAAGCAAUCUCUCUAGGUACAAGCAAGAUCAAAUCAGAUUCAAGACAAGCUACUUAGGCAAUCAACCCUGCCUUAAUCCGCAAUCAUAGACAUCCAUCUAUGUGCUCAAUGUUAAGGCAGCAACAAGAUGACAAUAUGCUGUGACCUUAAUCAGUUUCUAGCUCAUGUAUGCAGCAGGAUCAGCCAAUGCUUUCUAUUAUCCUAACACACUUCACUUAUAACUGAGGCAAAGCAAUAUUAAUCAUCAAUCAACAUCAGACAAUGCAAAACCUUAAGUGAUUUCAGUUUAAUGAAAGCUAAUAGGAUUUAGACAGUUUCUAACAUCCUAGCACAAUCAUAACCAAAUCAGGCUAAGCAUUUCAUUUCUCAACAUCAAACAACACUCAAUAGCAUCCUGGGACAGAUUCUAAAUCAUUUCAUUUCAUUUAGCAAUCUUAAACAUAUCCUCAGGUUCAUUUAAUCACAUCACAACACAACAACCUGUUUCAAUCACAAGCUCAUAUCAAGAAGGUUUAGGAUUAGCUUACAACCAAGGAACCUGAGCUGGUUCCUUGAGCCACCUUGGUAAUAGGCCACGAAUCUGGUGGAUAAGAGAGCUGGAUCGUCACCCAACACCUUCUCUUUGUGUUCAUAACCUCCUUCUUGAAACCACAACACAAAAGGUUCCACCUUUCUUCACAGCUCCAAGUCUCCAACUUCAGGAACAAGAUGAGAGCUUUCUUCUUGAAGGGUUUCAGCUUGGGACAGAGUUGAGACACGCCUUUAAUGGACUGGAGAGAGGAGGAACGACCAGGAGACACCACCAUAGCUUCAAACACCUUCUUCUUGAAGAGAGAGAACAGGCUGGACAUCUUCAAUGGUUUGGAUCUGUGAUGAGGCUAGACUUGUGAUGUAUAUGCGGAAGCUGGAACCAAGUUCUGAUGAACCUGGCUCUGAUACCAUGUUAGGUUUUCAGAGCUCAGGCUGUGUGUGUGAGAACAAGCCACUAAGGGCGAAAUGAGAGCUUGAACUGAAGAGAGAAAGGUCUGAUGAAGAACAGUAUGAACUUGGACAGAAACAAGAGAUUUAGAGAGAUUAAGAGAUUUAAGUAUAAGAAAGGGGUAGUUUGAGGGAUUCUUAUCCAAGAACACACUUUGUAUUAUGAAGGAGGAGGGGAAAUCCCCCUCUCUCUCUCUUAAGAGAGUUACAAAACGUCCAUGAUAGCCUUUAUAUAGGCUUUACACUUUGUAAAAUCAUAAACCCUUAAUCUAAUGGAUAGAAAUGACUUGAGAUGAAUGGAUGGCUAGGAUGGAGUUUUCUUGUUUGCAAUCUGAGUGAAUUGAUCUGAUUGGAGUAGAGAAUGCUGGCUGGUGAUUGGUUGAUUCAAACUGGUCAAGGCAAGGGCUGGCUCCUGAUUGGUUCCCUUAAAGCUCCCAUGAACCUUUUUCACAAAGAUGGCUAGAUACAUGGUCAAGGCUGCUUUUCCUUUACAGCUCAAAGACAGCCUGUCAUUGACCACGCCCUAGCUGUCCCUUAUCCACAAAUAGUCACAAGAUAACUCAGGUUUGUCUUCUCUUGCGCCCUAAGUUUGCACAGCUUCAUUUCAGCUUGAUCCGGAACAAGUACGGACGAAGGUACGGACCGCCUGUCCGUACCUCGCCCUAAGUUUGCACAUCUCACCAAAACAUCUCCAAUGGUUGAGUGUGAUCAGGUUCUGGGUCGCCCUAAGUUUGCACGGUUCAUCCGUACCGUCUGAACCUCGGGACGCCCUAUCUUUGCACCAUCACCCAACUAUCUCCAAAUGGUGUCUAAGUCCCUCCUGGACUUAAACCCUAUCUUUGCACAGCCUUCAUGAUACUUCUAGACUUCUCUAAACUCUCAUGAAGCCUUGAUAGACAAUCUCUUAAGAUCUUGUCCCUAUCUUUGCACCAGACCCAAACUCCUCCAUACUUCUCCUAUGGCUCCAUUUCUUUCUUCAAGUCAACAC